Molecule: long non-coding RNA, 103 nt
Organism: Drosophila navojoa
Lineage: Eukaryota; Metazoa; Arthropoda; Insecta; Diptera; Drosophilidae
Source: RefSeq, a predicted model, not a curated record
AGAGUGCAGAUAAUAUGCCAGCUCGAUCGGAUAAUAUUUUACAGUAACCCAAUUCAAGCUCUCAGACACUAAUACUACUACAAAAGCAGAGACCAAUCGCGAA